CAAAGUGUAGCUUAAACCAAAGCAUCUGGUUUACACCCAGAAGAUUCCAGCUUAAACUGAACAUUUUGA
RNAcentral lists this transfer RNA (69 nucleotides) under Chalinolobus gouldii (Gould's wattled bat). RNAcentral describes it as "tRNA-Val". It matches the Rfam family "tRNA". Rfam says of the family: Transfer RNA (tRNA) molecules are approximately 80 nucleotides in length. Their secondary structure includes four short double-helical elements and three loops (D, anti-codon, and T loops). The record is from RNAcentral. Lineage: Eukaryota; Metazoa; Chordata; Mammalia; Chiroptera; Vespertilionidae.